GCUCCCUUCAGCAGUACAUAUUGAAAUGAUACAGAGAAGAUUAACAUGGCCACUGCGCAUGUUAAUUAACAUGGAAUUCGUGAAGCAUUCCAUAUUUUU
Molecule: small nuclear RNA, 99 nt
Organism: Marmota marmota marmota (Alpine marmot)
Lineage: Eukaryota; Metazoa; Chordata; Mammalia; Rodentia; Sciuridae
Source: Ensembl